GGCGGACGGGUGAGUAACACGUGGGCAACCUGCCUAUGAGACUGGGAUAACUCCGGGAAACCGGGGCUAAUACCGGAUAAUUCUUUUCUACUCAUGUAGGAAAGCUGAAAGAUGGUUUCGGCUAUCACUCAUACAUGGGCCCGCGGCGCAUUAGCUAGUUGGUGAGGUAAUGGCUCACCAAGGCGACGAUGCGUAGCCGACCUGAGAGGGUGAUCGGCCACACUGGGACUGAGACACGGCCCAGACUCCUACGGGAGGCAGCAGUAGGGAAUCUUCCGCAAUGGACGAAAGUCUGACGGAGCAACGCCGCGUGAGUGAUGAAGGUUUUCGGAUCGUAAAACUCUGUUGUUAGGGAAGAACAAGUACCGGAGUAACUGCCGGUACCUUGACGGUACCUAACCAGAAAGCCACGGCUAACUACGUGCCAGCAGCCGCGGUAAUACGUAGGUGGCAAGCGUUGUCCGGAAUUAUUGGGCGUAAAGCGCGCGCAGGUGGUCUCUUAAGUCUGAUGUGAAAGCCCCCGGCUCAACCGGGGAGGGUCAUUGGAAACUGGGAGACUUGAGUGCAGGAGAGAAGAGUGGAAUUCCACGUGUAGCGGUGAAAUGCGUAGAGAUGUGGAGGAACACCAGUGGCGAAGG
RNAcentral lists this ribosomal RNA (638 nucleotides) under uncultured bacterium. RNAcentral's name for it is "bacterial SSU rRNA". It matches the Rfam family "Bacterial small subunit ribosomal RNA", at positions 97 to 721 of the family's 1533-position model. The record is from RNAcentral.